Molecule: transfer RNA, 69 nt
Filed under: Ictidomys tridecemlineatus (thirteen-lined ground squirrel)
Lineage: Eukaryota; Metazoa; Chordata; Mammalia; Rodentia; Sciuridae
Description: Spermophilus tridecemlineatus (thirteen-lined ground squirrel) tRNA
Rfam family: tRNA
About the family: Transfer RNA (tRNA) molecules are approximately 80 nucleotides in length. Their secondary structure includes four short double-helical elements and three loops (D, anti-codon, and T loops).
Source: Rfam by way of RNAcentral
GGGGCUGUGGCUCAGUGGUAGAGCACUCACUUUGCAUGUGUGAAGCACUGGGUUCAAUCUUCAGCACCA